Molecule: ribosomal RNA, 489 nt
Filed under: uncultured bacterium
Lineage: Bacteria
Description: partial 16S ribosomal RNA
Rfam family: Bacterial small subunit ribosomal RNA
Source: RNAcentral
GACGAACGCUGGCGGCGUGCUUAACACAUGCAAGUCGAACGGUGAAGGGACCAGCUUGCUGGUUCUGGAUGAGUGGCGAACGGGUGAGUAACACGUGAGUAACCUGCCCCCUUCUUCUGGAUAACCGCAUGAAAGUGUGGCUAAUACGGGAUAUUCUGGGUCUGUCGCAUGGCGGGCCCGGGAAAGAUAUUGCUUCGGUGGGGGAUGGGCUCGCGGCCUAUCAGCUUGUUGGUGGGGUGAUGGCCUACCAAGGCGGUGACGGGUAGCCGGCCCGAGAGGGUGGACGGUCACACUGGGACUGAGACACGGCCCAGAAUGCUACGGGAGGCAGCAGUGGGGAAUAUUGCACGAUGGGCGCAAGCCUGAUGCAGCGACGCCGCGUGAGAGAGGGAGGCCUUCGGGUUGUAAACCUCUUUCGCCAGUGAAGCAGGCCUGCUCCUUGUGGGUGGGUUGACGGUAGCUGGAGAAGAAGCGCCGGCUAACUACGUG